This 1001-nucleotide ribosomal RNA is filed under the name Microbacterium azadirachtae. Its description in RNAcentral is "bacterial SSU rRNA". It matches the Rfam family "Bacterial small subunit ribosomal RNA", at positions 24 to 1039 of the family's 1533-position model. Lineage: Bacteria; Bacillati; Actinomycetota; Actinomycetes; Micrococcales; Microbacteriaceae. The record is from RNAcentral.
UCAGAUGACGCGGCGGCGUGCUUAACACAUGCAAGUCGAACGAUGAACCCGAAGCUUGCUUUGGGGGAUUAGUGGCGAACGGGUGAGUAACACGUGAGCAACUGCCCCUCACUCUGGGAUAGCGCUGGAAACGGCGUCUAAUACUGGAUACGAGAUGCGACCGCAUGGUCAGUGUCUGGAAAGAUUUUUUGGUGGGGGAUGGGCUCGCGGCCUAUCAGCUUGUUGGUGAGGUAAUGGCUCACCAAGGCGUCGACGGGUAGCCGGCCUGAGAGGGUGACCGGCCACACUGGGACUGAGACACGGCCCAGACUCCUACGGGAGGCAGCAGUGGGGAAUAUUGCACAAUGGGCGGAAGCCUGAUGCAGCAACGCCGCGUGAGGGAUGACGGCCUUCGGGUUGUAAACCUCUUUUAGCAGGGAAGAAGCGAAAGUGACGGUACCUGCAGAAAAAGCACCGGCUAACUACGUGCCAGCAGCCGCGGUAAUACGUAGGGUGCAAGCGUUAUCCGGAAUUAUUGGGCGUAAAGAGCUCGUAGGCGGUUUGUCGCGUCUGCUGUGAAAUCCCGAGGCUCAACCUCGGGCCUGCAGUGGGUACGGGCAGACUAGAGUGCGGUAGGGGAGAUUGGAAUUCCUGGUGUAGCGGUGGAAUGCGCAGAUAUCAGGAGGAACACCGAUGGCGAAGGCAGAUCUCUGGGCCGUAACUGACGCUGAGGAGCGAAAGGGUGGGGAGCAAACAGGCUUAGAUACCCUGGUAGUCCACCCCGUAAACGUUGGGAACUAGUUGUGGGGUCCUUUCCACGGAUUCCGUGACGCAGCUAACGCAUUAAGUUCCCCGCCUGGGGAGUACGGCCGCAAGGCUAAAACUCAAAGGAAUUGACGGGGACCCGCACAAGCGGCGGAGCAUGCGGAUUAAUUCGAUGCAACGCGAAGAACCUUACCAAGGCUUGACAUACACGAGAACGGGCCAGAAAUGGUCAACUCUUUGGACACUCGUGAACAGGU